This 253-nucleotide ribosomal RNA is filed under the name uncultured bacterium. RNAcentral describes it as "partial 16S ribosomal RNA". It matches the Rfam family "Bacterial small subunit ribosomal RNA", at positions 524 to 776 of the family's 1533-position model. The record is from RNAcentral.
UACAGAGGUCUCAAGCGUUGUUCGGAUUCAUUGGGCGUAAAGGGUGCGUAAGCGGCGCGGUAAGUCGGGUGUGAAAUCUUGGAGCUUAACUCCGAAACUGCAUUCGAUACUGCCGUGCUUGAGGACUGGAGAGGAGACUGGAAUUUACGGUGUAGCGGUGAAAUGCGUAGAUAUCGUAAGGAAGACCAGUGGCGAAGGCGGGUCUCUGGACAGUACCUGACGCUGAGGCACGAAGGCCAGGGGAGCAAACGGG